CCUACGGGUGGCAGCAGUCGGGAAUAUUGCUCAAUGGGGGAAACCCUGAUGCAGCGACGCCGCGUGGGGGAUGAAGUUUUUCGGCUUGUAAAGUCCUUUUAUUAGGGAAGAUAAUGACGGUAUCUGACUAAUAAGCCCCGGCUAACUACGUGCCAGCAGCCGCGGUAAUACGGAGGGGGCAAGCGUUAUCCGGAAUCACUGGGUGUAAAGAGCGCGUAGACGGGAGUGCAAGUCAGGAGUGAAAUCCCAGGGCUUAACCCUGGAACUGCAUUUGAAACUGUGAGGCUAGAGUAAGGGAGAGGUAGGUGGAAGUCCUGGUGUAGGGGUAAAAUGCGUAGAGAUUAAGAGGAAGACCGAUGGCGAAGGCGACCUGCUAGAAUGUAACUGACGUUGAGGCGCGAAAGCGUGGGGAGCAAACAGGAUUAGAUACCCUAGUAGUC
This 440-nucleotide ribosomal RNA is filed under the name uncultured bacterium. RNAcentral's name for it is "partial 16S ribosomal RNA". It matches the Rfam family "Bacterial small subunit ribosomal RNA", at positions 338 to 795 of the family's 1533-position model. The record is from RNAcentral.